UGGGGAAUCUUGGACAAUGGAGGCAACUCUGAUCCAGCCAUGCCGCGUGUGUGAAGAAGGCCUUCGGGUUGUAAAGCACUUUCAGUAGUGAGGAAGGCUAUUGGUUAAUACCCAGUAGUACUUGACGUUAGCUACAGAAGAAGCACCGGCUAAUUUCGUGCCAGCAGCCGCGGUAAUACGAAAGGUGCGAGCGUUAAUCGGAAUUACUGGGCGUAAAGCGCGCGUAGGCGGUUAGUUAAGUCGGAUGUGAAAUCCCCGGGCUCAACCUGGGAACUGCAUCCGAUACUGGCUAACUAGAAUGCAGUAGAGGGAAGUGGAAUUUCAGGUGUAGCGGUGAAAUGCGUAGAGAU
RNAcentral lists this ribosomal RNA (350 nucleotides) under uncultured bacterium. RNAcentral describes it as "bacterial SSU rRNA". It matches the Rfam family "Bacterial small subunit ribosomal RNA", at positions 355 to 697 of the family's 1533-position model. The record is from RNAcentral.